CCUACGGGGGGCAGCAGUGGGGAAUAUUGCACAAUGGGGGAAACCCUGAUGCAGCGACGCCGCGUGAGUGAAGAAGUAAUUCGUUACGUAAAGCUCUAUCAGCAGGGAAGAAAUACUGACCUUACGGUCAGCAGACGGUACCUGAUUAAGAAACCCCGGCUAACUACGUGCCAGCAGCCGCGGUAAGACGUAGGGGGCAAGCGUUAUCCGGAUUUACUGGGUGUAAAGGGAGCGUAGACGGUGCGCCAGGUCUGGAGUGAAAUGCCGCAGCUUAACUGCGGAACUGCUUUGGAAACUGGCGAACUAGAGUGCGGGCGGGGUAAGCGGAAUUCCUAGUGUAGCGGUGAAAUGCGUAGAUAUGAGGAGGAACACCGGUGGCGAAGGCGGCUUACUGGACCGUAACUGACGUUGAGGCUCGAAAGCGUGGGGAGCAAACAGGAUUAGAUACCCUUGUAGUC
RNAcentral lists this ribosomal RNA (458 nucleotides) under uncultured bacterium. Its description in RNAcentral is "partial 16S ribosomal RNA". It matches the Rfam family "Bacterial small subunit ribosomal RNA", at positions 338 to 795 of the family's 1533-position model. The record is from RNAcentral.